CCUACGCCGGGCAGGGCUCAGGGCCAGGGGCCAGCCCGAGCCCGACCCGCAGCGGGGCAGCCGGCUCGGGCAGCCCUGGCCCCACCACGCCGGAGAGGCGAGGGCAGCCCCGCGAGACACCCCGCCGCGAGAGGAGCCCCCAGGAGAUUCUGCCUCAUUCGUCUCAGAGAUCAUUUCACCAUCUUCAUCAUCUUCAGUUUCCUGCAAUGAAGACAAGACAAUAAGAAAAAUUUACUGGACAAAAUGAAACCUGUUCUGAUGUCUUCUAUAAGGAGACACUGACAGCGAUAGCAGUCUGUGCCAGUUCUGCAGAACAUACAGCUCUGGCAAGGACCACCAUUCAACCAUCUUCUGUCUAGGUGUUGCCAAUACAGCACCUUGACUCAGUGCAUACAGGUGGGGCAAACAUUUUUCUCCAAACACCCAUCCCGACAGUGGUCUCUGAAUCUGUUAACAUGGGGUGAUGUUAGAAUGAAUGACCAAACUUUCCUGCCACCACCAGGAUACAUAUCCAGAUUGUCUUCAUAAUGGAGCUCAACCCUGUCAACUCAGGAAGUAAGACUCUGGAAGUCGUUCUGGAAGAGAACUAAUCCACAAUACAAACAUUUAAAAUCAAACCCCUGCAGCCUGAAAAUUUAAUCACAGCCAUUUCAGUGUAUAUAGUGCAUUCUGAUGCCAGAACAUCUCAAAGCUUUUCAUAGGAUCUGUACAGAGCUAGUGACCUUAGUAAAGCUUCAAGGAUACCCACAAGUGAUCCACUGAGAAGAUUUUAAAUUACAUAUACAGAGAGAGAAAAAAAGAGAAAGAACACACACAAACACACAGGUUCAUUGAGUCCAAAGAGCGUGGCAAGCUUCCCACCGAGGAAUUCGCAAGCUGAAAAGACAGGGAGGAGAAAGAAUAACAGCAAUUCUAUCCCUUAUGACCUUUGCCUCAUUUGGGACACAGGACAGACUGUGAAUGGAUCCUGGGAAUGGAUCAUGAUUACGCA
Chelonia mydas (Green sea turtle) is the source of this 991-nucleotide long non-coding RNA. RefSeq lists it as uncharacterized. The transcript is spliced from 6 exons. NCBI's taxonomy places the organism in Eukaryota, Metazoa, Chordata, Testudines, Cheloniidae. The record is from RefSeq and is a predicted model, not a curated record.